AUGACACCAGCGCUGGCUUUGCUCAUCCUUCUGGCAGCUCCACCGGGUGUCCUGGCCCAGGUCACACUGAAGGAGUCUAGCCCAGGGGUUGUGAAGCCCAGAGAGACCCUCAGCCUGACCUGCACCGUGUCUGGAUUCUCUCUCACUAGCAGUGCUGUGAGCUGGGUUCGGCAGGCAGCAGGGAAAAGGCUCGAGUGGGUCGGAAGUAUCGGGAGUGGUGGAAGCGCCUGCUAUAACAGCGCUCUCCAAAGCCGCCUCACCAUCAGCAGAGACACGUCCAGCAGCCAAGUGCACCUGCGCCUGACCAGUGUCCAACCUGUAGACACAGCCUGGUAUUACUGUGUCCUGGCCCAGAUCACGCUGAAGGAGUCUGGCCGAGGGGUCAUGAAGCCCGGAGAGACCCUCAGCCUGACCUGCACCGUGUCUGGAUUCUCUCUCACUAGCAGUGAUGUGAGCUGGGUUCGGCAGGAAGCAGGGAAAGGGCUGGAGUGGGUUGGAAUACUCUGGAGAGGUGGAAGCACUGAGUAUAACAGCGCUCUCCAAAGCCGCCUCACCAUCAGCAGAGACACGUAUAACAGCCAAGUGCACCUGUGCCUGACCGGGGUCCAACCUGUAGACACGGCCCAGUAUUACUGUGUCAGAUACACAGUGAAUGAAAAUGCAUGA
This is a non-coding RNA of Alligator mississippiensis (American alligator), 666 nucleotides long. NCBI's taxonomy places the organism in Eukaryota, Metazoa, Chordata, Crocodylia, Alligatoridae. The record is from the annotation of a RefSeq genome assembly.